AGACAGAUGUGAAAUCCCCGGGCUUAACCUGGGAACUGCGUUUGUGACUGCAAGACUGGAGUGUGGCAGAGGGGGGUGGAAUUCCACGUGUAGCAGUGAAAUGCGUAGAGAUGUGGAGGAACACCGAUGGCGAAGGCAGCCCCCUGGGUUAACACUGACGCUCAUGCACGAAAGCGUGGGUAGCAAACAGGAUUAGAUACCCUGGUAGUCCACGCCCUAAACGAUGCCAACUAGGUGUUGGAGAAGGAGACUUCUUUAGUACCGUAGCUAACGCGUGAAGUUGGCCGCCUGGGGAGUACGGUCGCAAGAUUAAAACUCAAAGGAAUUGACGGGGACCCGCACAAGCGGUGGAUGAUGUGGAUUAAUUCGAUGCAACGCGAAAAACCUUACCUACCCUUGACAUGCCAGGGAUCCUGCCGAGAGGUGGGAGUGCUCGAAAGAGAGCCUGGACACAGGUGCUGCAUGGCUGUCGUCAGCUCGUGUCGUGAGAUGUUGGGUUAAGUCCCGCAACGAGCGCAACCCUUGUCAUUAGUUGCCAUCAUUUGGUUGGGCACUCUAAUGAGACUGCCGGUGACAAACCGGAGGAAGGUGGGGAUGACGUCAAGUCCUCAUGGCCCUUAUGGGUAGGGCUUCACACGUCAUACAAUGGUCGGUACAGAGGGUUGCCAAGCCGCGAGGUGGAGCCAAUCCCAGAAAGCCGGUCGUAGUCCGGAUCGUAGUCUGCAACUCGACUGCGUGAAGU
This 742-nucleotide ribosomal RNA is filed under the name uncultured bacterium. Its description in RNAcentral is "bacterial SSU rRNA". It matches the Rfam family "Bacterial small subunit ribosomal RNA", at positions 586 to 1326 of the family's 1533-position model. The record is from RNAcentral.